GACGAACGCUGGCGGCGUGCUUAACACAUGCAAGUCGAACGGAAAGGCCCUGCUUUUGUGGGGUGCUCGAGUGGCGAACGGGUGAGUAACACGUGAGUAACCUGCCCUUGACUUUGGGAUAACUUCAGGAAACUGGGGCUAAUACCGGAUAGGAGCUCCUGCUGCAUGUUGGGGGUUGGAAAGUUUCGGCGGUUGGGGAUGGACUCGCGGCUUAUCAGCUUGUUGGUGAGGUAGUGGCUUACCAAGGCUUUGACGGGUAGCCGGCCUGGGAGGGUGACCGGCCACAUUGGGACUGAGGUACGGCCCAGACGCCUACGGGAGGCAGCAGUGGGGAAUAUUGCACAAUGGGCGGAAGCCUGAUGCAGCAACGCCGCGUGCGGGAUGACGGCCUUCGGGUUGUAAACCGCUUUCGCCUGUGACGAAGCGUGAGUGACGGUAAUGGGUAAAGAAGCACCGGCUAACUACGUG
RNAcentral lists this ribosomal RNA (468 nucleotides) under uncultured bacterium. Its description in RNAcentral is "partial 16S ribosomal RNA". It matches the Rfam family "Bacterial small subunit ribosomal RNA", at positions 28 to 507 of the family's 1533-position model. The record is from RNAcentral.